This 491-nucleotide ribosomal RNA is filed under the name uncultured bacterium. RNAcentral describes it as "partial 16S ribosomal RNA". It matches the Rfam family "Bacterial small subunit ribosomal RNA", at positions 29 to 507 of the family's 1533-position model. The record is from RNAcentral.
GUGAACGCUGGCGGUAGGCCUAACACAUGCAAGUCGAACGGCAGCACCGUAAGAGCUUGCUCUUACGGGUGGCGAGUGGCGGACGGGUGAGGAAUACAUCGGAAUCUACUUUUUCGUGGGGGAUAACGUAGGGAAACUUACGCUAAUACCGCAUACGACCUACGGGUGAAAGCAGGGGAUCUUCGGACCUUGCGCGAUUGAAUGAGCCGAUGUCGGAUUAGCUAGUUGGCGGGGUAAAGGCCCACCAAGGCGACGAUCCGUAGCUGGUCUGAGAGGAUGAUCAGCCAAACUGGAACUGAGACACGGUCCAGACUCCUACGGGAGGCAGCAGUGGGGAAUAUUGGACAAUGGGCGCAAGCCUGAUCCAGCCAUACCGCGUGGGUGAAGAAGGCCUUCGGGUUGUAAAGCCCUUUUGUUGGGAAAGAAAAGCAGCAGGUUAAUACCCCGCCGUUCUGACGGUACCCAAAGAAUAAGCACCGGCUAACUUCGUG